AGACUGGCGCUGAAUAGCGGCAAACGGGUGAGUAACACGUGAGAAAUUUUCCCUUAAGUCGAACAUAGCUUUGUGAAAACGGAGGUAAUAUUCGAUAUGGCCCUUGAGUCUCAUGAUUCGAGGGUUAAAGGUGGGGACCUUCGGGCCUACCGCUUUUGGAUGAUCUCGUGGCCUAUCAGCUUGUUGGUAGGGUAAAGGCCUACCAAGGCGUAUGACGGGUAGCUGGUCUGAGAGGAUGGUCAGCCACACUGGGACUGAGACACUGCCCAGACUCCUACGGGAGGCUGCAGUCGAGAAUCUUUAGCAAUGGACGAAAGUCUGACUACGCGACGCCGCGUGCAGGAUGAAGGUUUUCGGAUCGUAAACUGCUUUUGUCAGGAAAGAAAAUUCUCAACUCUAACAGAGUUGAGGACUGACGGUACCUGACGAAUAAGCCACGGCCAACUCCGUGCCAGCAGCCGCGGUAAUACGGAGGUGGCAAGCGUUACUCGGAAUUAUUGGGUGUAAAGGGCAAGUAGGCGGCCUAUUAAGUGAGGGGUGAAAUCUUCCGACUCAAUCGGAAAAUUGCCUUUCAAACUAAUAGACUUGAGAUUGGAGGAGGGAAACGGAAUUAGCAGUGUAAGGGUGAAAUCUGUAGAUAUUGCUAAGAACACCGGCGGCGAAGGCGGUUUCCUGGUCCAAAUCUGACGCUAAAUUGCGAAAGCUAGGGGAGCAAACAGAAUUAGAUACUCUGGUAGUCCUAGCUGUAAACGAUGAGCACUAGGUGUUGGUCCCUUGGGAUCAGUGCCGCAGCUAACGCAUUAAGUGCUCCACCUGGGGACUACGGCCGCAAGGCUAAAACUCAAAGGAAUUGACGGGGACCCGCACAAGCGGUGGAACAUGUGGUUUAAUUCGAUGCUACGCGGAAGAAUCCUCACCAAGGCUUGACUUGCUCGUCGUAUCUUUCUGAAAGGGGAGAGUCAUUAGUGGACGAUACACAGGUGCUGCAUGGCUGUCGUCAGCUCGGGUCGUGGAGAUGUUGGGUAGUCCCGCACGAGCGCAACCAUGCCUCAUGUUGC
RNAcentral lists this ribosomal RNA (1058 nucleotides) under uncultured bacterium. Its description in RNAcentral is "bacterial SSU rRNA". It matches the Rfam family "Bacterial small subunit ribosomal RNA", at positions 79 to 1118 of the family's 1533-position model. The record is from RNAcentral.